RNAcentral lists this ribosomal RNA (450 nucleotides) under uncultured bacterium. RNAcentral's name for it is "partial 16S ribosomal RNA". It matches the Rfam family "Bacterial small subunit ribosomal RNA", at positions 354 to 796 of the family's 1533-position model. The record is from RNAcentral.
GUGGGGAAUUUUGGACAAUGGGCGCAAGCCUGAUCCAGCAAUGCCGCGUGCAGGAAGAAGGCCUUCGGGUUGUAAACUGCUUUUGUACGGAACGAAACGGCUCUGGUUAAUACCCGGGGCUAAUGACGGUACCGUAAGAAUAAGCACCGGCUAACUACGUGCCAGCAGCCGCGGUAAUACGUAGGGUGCAAGCGUUAAUCGGAAUUACUGGGCGUAAAGCGUGCGCAGGCGGUUGUGUAAGACAGGCGUGAAAUCCCCGGGCUCAACCUGGGAAUUGCGCUUGUGACUGCACAGCGGGAGUGCGGCAGAGGGGGAUGGAAUUCCGCGUGUAGCAGUGAAAUGCGUAGAUAUGCGGAGGAACACCGAUGGCGAAGGCAAUCCCCUGGGCCUGUACUGACGCUCAUGCACGAAAGCGUGGGGAGCAAACAGGAUUAGAUACCCCUGUAGUCC